RNAcentral lists this unclassified non-coding RNA (217 nucleotides) under Hevea brasiliensis (rubber tree). The record is from RNAcentral. Lineage: Eukaryota; Viridiplantae; Streptophyta; Magnoliopsida; Malpighiales; Euphorbiaceae.
GAGAUACUCUGGCCACGCCAUACCCAGCCGCAUCCUCACCCGAUAAGGGAUGACAAAUUCCACAGUAGGGAAAACAAUCAUCAUCAUAAUAUCAUCAUUUACAUUUCUGAAUUUCUCACAAAUCCAGUCUCUUCCGCGCGCAACAAGUUUUAGAGACCACAAUCCAUUUAGACAUUGAUGACAGAGUCUUGUGACCAAGAGAAACUGUUGACGGAAG